AACGCACAUUGCGCCCCUUGGUAUUCCGAGGGGCAUGCCUGUUCGAGCGUCAUUAUAACCACUCAAGCCUUGGCUUGGUAUUGGGGUUCGCGGUCUCGCGGCCUUUAAAAUCAGUGGCGGUGCCGUCUGGCUCUAAGCGUAGUAAUUCUCUCGCUAUAGGGUCCUGGCGGUUGCUUGCCAAAAUCCCCCCAUUUUUAUGGUUGACCUCGGAUCAGGUAGGGAUACCCGCUGAACUUAA
This 238-nucleotide unclassified non-coding RNA is filed under the name uncultured fungus. Its description in RNAcentral is "sequence contains ITS2". The stretch from base 1 to 52 matches the Rfam family "5.8S ribosomal RNA", at positions 103 to 154 of the family's 154-position model. The record is from RNAcentral. Lineage: Eukaryota; Fungi.